CACGUAGGGCGCGAGCGUUGUCCGGAAUUAUUGGGCGUAAAGAGCUCGUAGGCGGCCUGUUGCGUCCGCUGUGAAAGCUCGGGGCUUAACCCCGGGUCGGCAGUGGAUACGGGCAGGCUAGAGGUAGGUAGGGGAGAAUGGAAUUCCCGGUGUAGCGGUGAAAUGCGCAGAUAUCGGGAGGAACACCGGUGGCGAAGGCGGUUCUCUGGGCCUUACCUGACGCUGAGGAGCGAAAGCGUGGGGAGCGAACAGG
This 253-nucleotide ribosomal RNA is filed under the name uncultured bacterium. Its description in RNAcentral is "partial 16S ribosomal RNA". It matches the Rfam family "Bacterial small subunit ribosomal RNA", at positions 524 to 776 of the family's 1533-position model. The record is from RNAcentral.